GAUGAAGAACGUAGCGAAAUGCGAUAAGUAGUGUGAAUUGCAGACUUUAGUGAAUCAUCGAAUCUUUGAACGCACAUUGCGCCCCUUGGUAUUCCAUUGGGCAUGCCUGUUCGAGCGUCAUUAUAACCCCUCAAGCUCAGCUUGGUGUUGGGGCCUGCUGCACUGGCAGCCCUUAAAAUCAGUGGCGGCGCCAUCUGGCUCUAAGCGUAGUAAUUCUUCUCGCUAUGGAGUCCUGGUGGAUGCUUGCCAUCAACCCCCAAUUUUUCUAUGGUUGACCUCGGAUCAGGUAGGGAUACCCGCUGAACUUAAGCAUAUCAAUAAGCGGAGGA
Molecule: unclassified non-coding RNA, 329 nt
Filed under: soil metagenome
Description: partial contains 5.8S ribosomal RNA, internal transcribed spacer 2, and large subunit ribosomal RNA
Rfam family: 5.8S ribosomal RNA (bases 1-120)
Source: RNAcentral